GAUGAAGAACGUAGCGAAAUGCGAUACGUAAUGUGAAUUGCAGAAUUCGGUGAAUCAUCGAGUCUUUGAACGCACAUUGCGCCCCCUGGUAUUCCGGGGGGCAUGCCUGUCCGAGCGUCAUUGCUGCCCUCAAGCACGGCUUGUGUGUUGGGCCUCCGUCCUCCUCCCGGGGGACGGGCCCGAAAGGCAGCGGCGGCACCGCGUCCGGUCCUCGAGCGUAUGGGGCUUCGUCACCCGCUCUUGUAGGCCCGGUCGGCGCUUGCCGACACAUCAAUCUUUUUUCCAGGUUGACCUCGGAUCAGGUAGGGAUACCCGCUGAACUUAAGCAUAUCAAUAAGCGGAGGA
This 345-nucleotide unclassified non-coding RNA is filed under the name soil metagenome. RNAcentral describes it as "partial contains 5.8S ribosomal RNA, internal transcribed spacer 2, and large subunit ribosomal RNA". The stretch from base 1 to 120 matches the Rfam family "5.8S ribosomal RNA", at positions 35 to 154 of the family's 154-position model. The record is from RNAcentral.